Molecule: ribosomal RNA, 407 nt
Filed under: uncultured bacterium
Lineage: Bacteria
Description: bacterial SSU rRNA
Rfam family: Bacterial small subunit ribosomal RNA
Source: RNAcentral
CACAUGCAAGUCGCACGAGAAAGGGCUUCGGCCCCGGUAAAGUGGCGCACGGGUGAGUAACACGUGGGCAACCUGCCCAACCCUGGGGGAUAACCUGCCGAAAGGCGGGCUAAUACCGCGUACGAGGGCUCGACUUCGGUCGGGUUCUGAAAGCAGGCCUCUGAAUUCAAGCUUGUGGGGUUGGAUGGGCCCGCGGUCCAUCAGCUAGUUGGUGAGGUAAUGGCUCACCAAGGCAACGACGGAUAGCUGGUCUGAGAGGAUGAUCAGCCACACUGGAACUGAGACACGGUCCAGACUCCUACGGGAGGCAGCAGUGGGGAAUCUUGCGCAAUGGACGAAAGUCUGACGCAGCGACGCCGCGUGGGUGACGAAGGCCUUCGGUUGUAAGCCUGUGGGCGGAGACGAAC